CGUAGCUGGCCCGCCUAUCAGCUGGCACCAGCUCAUCAAACUUCCCAGCUGAGGAUUAGGCUAGUAUCUUUGUCUUUCCUCCUCGAACACAAUUCCAAAAAUAAAACGAAACGAAAAUCAUAACAGCGCUCUCGGUGUGAGCUCCCGAUCUCGGCCCUGAACUGUGUAGAGCAGCACACCUUUAAGUACCUGGGCUGAUUAGCUAAUGCAACUCAGGUGCGUGUGUUCUCUCCACCAGCGGCCCACCCGAGACUAAUCCGCUUCUCCGACGGACCGAAUGCUACACAUACAACCGGCUUUGAACAGUGGAAGCCAACAGACACUGAAUGGGGAAAACAUGGCAGACGUGACUGGCUGUGGUUCCCUUAUUUAUUUAGGCAGUUUGUUCCCAGUUUAAUCGGUCAGACUGGAGCAUGUGGAAGAAGUGGCAUGGUUUUAAUUCCUGCAUAGUAACAGGGGGCAGAUUCCCCCACCAUGGGAUAUGAAAACAAGCUUCACCUCUCCCGCUGCAGGCCCCCCACGCUGCAGUCUUUGUGGGGCGUGGUAUGCAGGGCGCUCUGUGCCUGAUGAGGGGUGAAUCCCAGGCUUCAUUAUGUCAGAUCAGCUCCGGCAACCUCUCCUCCCUAACAGCUCAUUAAUGAACUCCUCUGUAUGGCUCACAUUGAACUCAUCUGAACUGCUGCUAGCAUUCAAGAAGGGAGGCGACCAGCAGCUUGUGGUUUUAUAUUGAGUGUUUAUAUAAGGCUUUUAUUCAUCUUAUCUUGAAUUCUCAGUCAAGAUGUAUGUUUGACAGAAAUGACUUACAUUAUCGCAGGAAUCAUUUUUGAAAGUAUAUGCAUUUUUAAAUCCAAUUUUUGAUGAAUGGAUUGAUUCAUUAUAACAGAAUAUAAAAAUGUGGAUGACAAAAGUCAGACCCUUCCAAGUCUUUACAAAGAGAAAAUGGGAUAUUUAAAAUAAGUGCUCAUGUUGUUUUAAAAUAAACUGUGAUUAUAAUUCACUUUAUUUAUUUAGCAGAAAAAGUACAAGAGAAAAGCCCUUUCUGAAAGUGGUCUCAAUUAUGGCUUGAACUGUAUAAUGUAACCUACUGAUACAGGACUAUUUACAAAUGUAAAUGUCACUAUUUAUAUGACUGAAUAUACAGUACAACUAUGAGUGGUAAGACUGCCAAUGUGUGGAUGUGGCAAGAAGCAGCAAUGAUACCAGAAAAUUUUAUGACUAACCCAGAUAAUGUCAAAGUGUAAUAUAUUUAUACUGGUCUGUCGAAAAGGCCAGUCUCCAUCCUGUUUUUUUUUUUUAGUAAAGUUGUGCGAUCCUAGCUGUAGCAGGAAGGUACAUAGACUAUGUGCAUUUAACUUGCAGCUGUGUUGCAGAACGAUAUAGGUGUAAAGUUAGUAAAUAAAUGGACCCCUUUAUGGAUCAGUU
Anguilla anguilla (European eel) is the source of this 1422-nucleotide long non-coding RNA. RefSeq lists it as uncharacterized. NCBI's taxonomy places the organism in Eukaryota, Metazoa, Chordata, Actinopteri, Anguilliformes, Anguillidae. The record is from RefSeq and is a predicted model, not a curated record. The transcript has 2 exons.